Molecule: ribosomal RNA, 222 nt
Filed under: uncultured prokaryote
Description: partial 16S ribosomal RNA
Rfam family: Bacterial small subunit ribosomal RNA
Source: RNAcentral
UACGUAGGAUGCGAGCGUUGUUCGGAUUUAUUGGGCGUAAAGCGUGCGUAGGCGGUUACAAAAGUCUGGUGUUAAAGCUAGGGGCUCAACCCCUGUGAUGCACUGGAUACUGUGUGACUUGAGUGCGGUAGGGGAAGGUGGAAUUCCGAGUGUAGCGGUGAAAUGCGUAGAUAUUCGGAAGAACACCGGUGGCGAAGGCGACCUUCUGGGCCGCAACUGACG